RNAcentral lists this long non-coding RNA (1305 nucleotides) under Mus musculus (house mouse). RNAcentral describes it as "Opa interacting protein 5, opposite strand 1". The record is from RNAcentral. Lineage: Eukaryota; Metazoa; Chordata; Mammalia; Rodentia; Muridae.
GAAGGAGCGAAGAUGGCGGAGUGAGGCGUGCCCCGGGCAGCUGGCCUGCGGGCCCGGGGCAGGCCUCCCGUGAGAAGCGGAGUACUUGUGCUGGACCGUGUGAGGAACCAUAUCACACAAGAUGAAUAUUUUCCUGACCUUAGGUGCUUUUAUAUUCAGCUCAACAUUCUGAACUCAGGACUUGGCACGUAAGUAGAUAGAGAUAAUCAUCCCAAGUCCUGUUGUAGCGGCUUGAAAGGCUCCAUAGAAGCGACAUACUAAACUGUUAAGAGCAACAGAAGAUGAAGAUAAAAAUGAGUACAAGCCAGCUACCAUGGCUCACCUUUAUGCCCAGCUCUUGGGACCUGGGGAACUGAGGAAUUCCUAUGUGGACUGCUCAGUGAGGCGUCCUGGUUCUUCCAUCCUGUUACUUUCCCCAGUGAGAUGCAGAUGUCUUUCGACAGAUUACCUCCAUGGUUUAGGAUGCAGAGACUGCCUUUCUUUUACGUCAGACUCAACACAGGAAAGCCGUGAGGAUGCAGCCGUCCUGUUGACUUCAGCAAGAAAACAAACCAUGGACUUGGGUCUUCUGCAGCUUUUGAAUUGGAAAGACGGUGUUUGCAAGUAGAAGGAAGAUGCUGAAUUUGAAACAAGUGCUUAGGUUCUGUGGCGUGAGUUGUUUUCUUUUUAAAAGAUCCAAACAAGAAGACUGAACAAAUACCAAGUGUGGGUGACUUCAGGUUUUUUUUUUAAUGUCUUCCAAUUUUAACACUAUUAUAAGCACAGUUGACCGCAAUUGAGCCAAAUUCAUGGUCUACCGUCCCCGAACAGGCAGGAACUGGCCUGAGUGUCAUAAACAGGCGCCACCAUCAGUGUGAAGUUCAGUGCUGACUGAGGACCCGGCAAGGCCCUGCAGCAAGGUGGUUUUGUAGGAUACAGAAGUUCAGACUCAGGCUGUGCUGUGGCUCUGUUUACAACUGCAGAGCUGGAGUUGUUCUUCAGAUGAGUCGGUCAAAAUGUGUCACUUGCCUGAAACUUGAUUCCUGAGGAACAGGAGAAAACUUUCUUCUUCCAAAAAAUAUAUUUAUUUGGAUAAAUGAAUAUUGGUUUGUUAUAAUAGUGAAAGGAACAGAAGUGUAAUCUACUGGCAGAACAUUUACCUGAGAAAAUGGGUUUAAUUGCAGCACUACCAAAAAAAACCUCAUGGUGGUAACAUAAGAAUUUCUUGACUUUGAAAUGCAAGUUACAAAAUGAUUUUGACAAAUGAGAAGUAUUUAUAAUGUCUGAAAGGCCUAAAUAGAUUUCAAAUAAAACUGUUUCACUGGA